CCUCAGUUCGGAUUGUACUCUGCAACUCGAGUACAUGAAGCUGGAAUCGCUAGUAAUCGCGGAUCAGCACGCCGCGGUGAAUACGUUCCCGGGUCUUGUACACACCGCCCGUCACACCAUGGGAGUCGGUUCUGCCUUAAGUCGUCCAGCUAACCGCAAGGAAGCAGACGCCCACGGCAGGGUCGAUGACUGGGGUGAAGUCGUAACAAGGUAGCCGUAUCGGAAGGUGCGGCUGGAUUACCUCCUUU
Molecule: ribosomal RNA, 248 nt
Filed under: Alphaproteobacteria bacterium
Lineage: Bacteria; Pseudomonadati; Pseudomonadota; Alphaproteobacteria
Description: partial 16S ribosomal RNA
Rfam family: Bacterial small subunit ribosomal RNA
Source: RNAcentral